This is a small nucleolar RNA of Folsomia candida, 227 nucleotides long. It matches the Rfam family "Small nucleolar RNA U3". Rfam says of the family: Small nucleolar RNAs (snoRNAs) are involved in the processing and modification of rRNA in the nucleolus. There are two main classes of snoRNAs: the box C/D class, and the box H/ACA class. U3 snoRNA is a member of the box C/D class. Lineage: Eukaryota; Metazoa; Arthropoda; Collembola; Entomobryomorpha; Isotomidae. The record is from Rfam.
GAGAUCAUACUUCCAAGCAUCAUUUCUUUAGUCUGAUUGCUCAAACCCUACCCAACAAAGGCGAAGGAACAAACCACGAGGAAGCUUUUUCUUUUAAACUUGAGACGAAGCUCUUCUGAGCAUGCGACGGGCUCAAAUUGAUCUUAGGAUCGACUAAUGGUUAGGUCCAUAAUGACUGUUCAGCCCUCUUUUUCGGAGAAGGCCGACAGGGUGGAGGCAUAAGUGGU